Molecule: ribosomal RNA, 592 nt
Filed under: uncultured bacterium
Lineage: Bacteria
Description: bacterial SSU rRNA
Rfam family: Bacterial small subunit ribosomal RNA
Source: RNAcentral
UUAGCUAGUUGGUAAGGUAACGGCUUACCAAGGCGACGAUCAGUAGCCGACUUGAGAGAGUGAUCGGCCACAUUGGGACUGAGACACGGCCCAAACUCCUACGGGAGGCAGCAGUGGGGAAUAUUGGACAAUGGGGGAAACCCUGAUCCAGCGACGCCGCGUGAGUGAAGAAGUAUUUCGGUAUGUAAAGCUCUAUCGGCAGGGAAGAUAAUGACAGUACCUGACUAAGAAGCCCCGGCUAACUACGUGCCAGCAGCCGCGGUAAUACGUAGGGGGCAAGCGUUAUCCGGAUUUACUGGGUGUAAAGGGAGCGUAGGUGGCAUGGCAAGUCAGAAGUGAAAGCCCAGGGCUCGACCCUGGGACUGCUUUUGAAACUGUCAAGCUAGAGUGCAGGAGAGGUAAGUGGAAUUCCUAGUGUAGCGGUGAAAUGCGUAGAUAUUAGGAGGAACACCAGUGGCGAAGGCGGCCUACUGGGCUUUAACUGACGCUGAGGCUCGAAAGCGUGGGUAGCAAACAGGAUUAGAUACCCUGGUAGUCCACGCUGUAAACGAUGAUUACUAGGUGUGGGGGGACUGACCCCUUCCGUGCCGGA